AGGCUUAACACAUGCAAGUCGAGGGGCAGCAUGGUCUUAGCUUGCUAAGGCCGAUGGCGACCGGCGCACGGGUGAGUAACACGUAUCCAACCUGCCGUCUACUCUUGGACAGCCUUCUGAAAGGAAGAUUAAUACAAGAUGGCAUCAUGAGUCCGCAUGUUCACAUGAUUAAAGGUAUUCCGGUAGACGAUGGGGAUGCGUUCCAUUAGAUAGUAGGCGGGGUAACGGCCCACCUAGUCUUCGAUGGAUAGGGGUUCUGAGAGGAAGGUCCCCCACAUUGGAACUGAGACACGGUCCAAACUCCUACGGGAGGCAGCAGUGAGGAAUAUUGGUCAAUGGGCGAGAGCUUGAACCAGCCAAGUAGCGUGAAGGAUGACUGCCCUAUGGGUUGUAAACUUCUUUUAUAAAGGAAUAAAGUCGGGUAUGGAUACCCGUUUGCAUGUACUUUAUGAAUAAGGAUCGGCUAACUCCGUGCCAGCAGCCGCGGUAAUACGGAGGAUCCGAGCGUUAUCCGGAUUUAUUGGGUUUAAAGGGAGCGUAGAUGGAUGUUUAAGUCAGUUGUGAAAGUUUGCGGCUCAACCGUAAAAUUGCAGUUGAUACUGGAUAUCUUGAGUGCAGUUGAGGCAGGCGGAAUUCGUGGUGUAGCGGUGAAAUGCUUAGAUAUCACGAAGAACUCCGAUUGCGAAGGCAGCCUGCUAAGCUGCAACUGACAUUGAGGCUCGAAAGUGUGGGUAUCAAACAGGAUUAGAUACCCUGGUAGUCCACACGGUAAACGAUGAAUACUCGCUGUUUGCGAUAUACUGCAAGCGGCCAAGCGAAAGCGUUAAGUAUUCCACCUGGGGAGUACGCCGGCAACGGUGAAACUCAAAGGAAUUGACGGGGGCCCGCACAAGCGGAGGAACAUGUGGUUUAAUUCGAUGAUACGCGAGGAACCUUACCCGGGCUUAAAUUGCAGAUGAAUUACGGUGAAAGCCGUAAGCCGCAAGGCAUCUGUGAAGGUGCUGCAUGGUUGUCGUCAGCUCGUGCCGUGAGGUGUCGGCUUAAGUGCCAUAACGAGCGCAACCCUUGUUGUCAGUUACUAACAGGUUCCGCUGAGGACUCUGACAAGACUGCCAUCGUAAGAUGUGAGGAAGGUGGGGAUGACGUCAAAUCAGCACGGCCCUUACGUCCGGGGCUACACACGUGUUACAAUGGGGGGUACAGAGGGCCGCUACCACGCGAGUGGAUGCCAAUCCCCAAAACCUCUCUCAGUUCGGACUGGAGUCUGCAACCCGACUCCACGAAGCUGGAUUCGCUAGUAAUCGCGCAUCAGCCACGGCGCGGUGAAUACGUUCCCGGGCCUUGUACACACCGCCCGUCAAGCCAUGGGAGCCGGGGGUACCUGAAGUGCGUAACCGCGAGGAGCGCCCUAGGGUAAAACUGGUGACUGGGGCUAAAU
This 1438-nucleotide ribosomal RNA is filed under the name uncultured bacterium. RNAcentral describes it as "bacterial SSU rRNA". It matches the Rfam family "Bacterial small subunit ribosomal RNA". The record is from RNAcentral.